This 253-nucleotide ribosomal RNA is filed under the name uncultured bacterium. RNAcentral describes it as "partial 16S ribosomal RNA". It matches the Rfam family "Bacterial small subunit ribosomal RNA", at positions 524 to 776 of the family's 1533-position model. The record is from RNAcentral.
GACAGAGGUGCCGAGCGUUAGGCGGAAUCACUGGGCUUAAAGCGUGUGUAGGCGGGCGGGCAAGUACCUUGUGAAAUCCCACGGCUCAACCGUGGAACUGCUGGGUAUACUGCCUGUCUUGAGCCAACUAGGGGCGAGCGGAACAGACGGUGGAGCGGUGAAAUGCGUAGAUAUCGUCUGGAACGCCAAAGGUGAAAACAGCUCGCUGGGGAUGUGCUGACGCUGAGACACGAAAGCCAGGGGAGCAAACGGG